Molecule: ribosomal RNA, 549 nt
Filed under: uncultured Glomeromycotina
Lineage: Eukaryota; Fungi; Glomeromycota
Description: SSU rRNA
Rfam family: Eukaryotic small subunit ribosomal RNA
Source: RNAcentral
UUGGAGGGCAAGUCUGGUGCCAGCAGCCGCGGUAAUUCCAGCUCCAAUAGCGUAUAUUAAAGUUGUUGCAGUUAAAAAGCUCGUAGUUGAAUUUCGAGAUCAGUACGCUGGUCGUGCCUUUGGUAUGCACUGGUGUCACUGGUUUCUCCCUUCUGAAGAACUGUCAUGCCAUUCAGUUGGUGUGGCGGGGAAUCAGGACUGUUACUUUGAAAAAAUUAGAGUGUUUAAAGCAGGCUCGCGCUUGAAUACAUUAGCAUGGAAUAAUGAAAUAGGACGUUUGACCCUAUUUUGUUGGUUUCUAGGAUCGACGUAAUGAUUAAUAGGGAUAGUUGGGGGCAUUAGUAUUCAAUUGUCAGAGGUGAAAUUCUUGGAUUUAUUGAAGACUAACUACUGCGAAAGCAUUUGCCAAGGAUGUUUUCAUUAAUCAAGAACGAAAGUUAGGGGAUCGAAGACGAUCAGAUACCGUCGUAGUCUUAACCAUAAACUAUGCCGACUAGGGAUCGGAUGAUGUUAAUUUUUUAAUGACUCAUUCGGCACCUUACGGGAAAC